RNAcentral lists this ribosomal RNA (165 nucleotides) under Cassytha filiformis. Its description in RNAcentral is "5.8S ribosomal RNA". It matches the Rfam family "5.8S ribosomal RNA". From Rfam's summary of the family: 5.8S ribosomal RNA (5.8S rRNA) is a component of the large subunit of the eukaryotic ribosome. It is transcribed by RNA polymerase I as part of the 45S precursor that also contains 18S and 28S rRNA. Functionally, it is thought that 5.8S rRNA may be involved in ribosome translocation. The record is from RNAcentral. Lineage: Eukaryota; Viridiplantae; Streptophyta; Magnoliopsida; Laurales; Lauraceae.
UUGGACGACUCUCGGCAACGGAUAUCUAGGCUCUCGCAUCGAUGAAGAACGUAGCGAAAUGCGAUACUUGGUGUGAAUUGCAGAAUCCCGUGAACCAUCGAGUCUUUGAACGCAAGUUGCGCCCGAGGCCAUUCGGCCGAGGGCACGUCUGCCUGGGCGUCGCGC